CUUAAGAAAUAAAGCAACAUGUUUUCAUCACUUUUUUGGUGGUUGCAUUUUGAAUAGUUUCCAACUUGCUAAUAGGCAUUAGAUUUCUUGUUUUAACUGAAUAUUCAUUUUUGCAGCUUCUCAUGAUUGAAAAUUGUGGUGAAUGUAAACCCGGCGAGUCUUGGAACAUAGGCGAAAAUGAUGAAACUGAAGACAUUUAUACACCUUGGCCAGAUGACUGUGAAGAGGAGUUCCUCAAAAAUCCCAUAGUUGCGGAACUAACUAUAAAUAACAUAAAGAAUUCAGGAAAACAUUUUUACAAUAAGAACGAGUUUAUAAAUGCAGAAAGGAAAUACACAAAAUGUCUGAGAUAUAUUGACUGGACUUUGACACACAAGAUAGAGAUUGAUAAAAUUGAAGACAUUCAGAGUGUUCUUCUAUUGAAUUUAGCAGCUGUUAAAUUGAGAAGGCGUAAAUAUAAAGAAGCUAUUUUAUUAUGCAAUGAGGUGCUCGAAGCAGACAAAUGUAACGUGAAAGCUUUGUACAGAAGAGCUCAAGCAAGGCUGGCUUUGAUGGAAUACGAUAAAGCACUGGAAGACAUUAACAAUGCCUCUAUUUUGCUACCAAACGAUAAGAAUAUUCAGGAAGUCCAACGUGAAGCUAAAAAAGUCAAAUUGAUGUACCUGAAAAAUGAAAAAAAAUUCUAUGCUAAAGUAUUCAGUUAAUGUGUUGGUAAUAGUUUCUGUCAAUCGCCAAAACUGAAAUGCUUUGUUUUUUAACCGAAUAUAGAAAAGAGGUACAUAAUAUGUGAUUGAUACAAUAGCAUUCAAACAACAUCUAAAGUUCCAUGUCUAUUUUUCUAUAAUAUCAGCGCUUGGAGGGGGGCACCUUUUUGUCUUUUUGGCCGCAGCCUUCAGCCAAGUACACUUGCCAUGAUCCCCUGACCUAAGCUCUAG
Molecule: unclassified non-coding RNA, 935 nt
Organism: Leptinotarsa decemlineata (Colorado potato beetle)
Lineage: Eukaryota; Metazoa; Arthropoda; Insecta; Coleoptera; Chrysomelidae
Source: RefSeq, a predicted model, not a curated record